This 1385-nucleotide ribosomal RNA is filed under the name uncultured organism. RNAcentral describes it as "SSU rRNA". It matches the Rfam family "Bacterial small subunit ribosomal RNA". The record is from RNAcentral.
GACGAGCUGCUGGCGGCGCUGCUUAACACAUGCAAGUCGAACGAUGAAGCCUAGCUUGCUAGGUGGAUUAGUGGCGAACGGGUGAGUAAUACGUGAGUAACCUACCUUUAACUCUGGGAUAAGCCUGGGAAACUGGGUCUAAUACCGGAUACGACCAAUCUCCGCAUGGGGUGUUGGUGGAAAGCGUUAUGUAGUGGUUAUAGAUGGGCUCACGGCCUAUCAGCUUGUUGGUGAGGUAACGGCUCACCAAGGCGACGACGGGUAGCCGGCCUGAGAGGGUGACCGGCCACACUGGGACUGAGACACGGCCCAGACUCCUACGGGAGGCAGCAGUGGGGAAUAUUGCACAAUGGGCGCAAGCCUGAUGCAGCGACGCCGCGUGAGGGAUGACGGCCUUCGGGUUGUAAACCUCUGUUAGCAGGGAAGAAGAGAGAUUGACGGUACCUGCAGAGAAAGCGCCGGCUAACUACGUGCCAGCAGCCGCGGUAAUACGUAGGGCGCGAGCGUUGUCCGGAAUUAUUGGGCGUAAAGAGCUUGUAGGCGGUUUGUCGCGUCUGCUGUGAAAGGCCGGAGCUUAACUCCGUGUAUUGCAGUGGGUACGGGCAGACUAGAGUGCAGUAGGGGAGACUGGAAUUCCUGGUGUAGCGGUGGAAUGCGCAGAUAUCAGGAGGAACACCGAUGGCGAAGGCAGGUCUCUGGGCUGUAACUGACGCUGAGAAGCGAAAGCAUGGGGAGCGAACAGGAUUAGAUACCCUGGUAGUCCAUGCCGUAAACGUUGGGCACUAGGUGUGGGGGACAUUCCACGUUUUCCGCGCCGUAGCUAACGCAUUAAGUGCCCCGCCUGGGGAGUACGGCCGCAAGGCUAAAACUCAAAGAAAUUGACGGGGGCCCGCACAAGCGGCGGAGCAUGCGGAUUAAUUCGAUGCAACGCGAAGAACCUUACCAAGGCUUGACAUAUACUGGACCGCAUCAGAGAUGGUGUUUCCCUUCGGGGCUGGUAUACAGGUGGUGCAUGGUUGUCGUCAGCUCGUGUCGUGAGAUGUUGGGUUAAGUCCCGCAACGAGCGCAACCCUCGUUCUAUGUUGCCAGCACGUUAUGGUGGGGACUCAUAGGAGACUGCCGGGGUCAACUCGGAGGAAGGUGGGGAUGACGUCAAAAUCAUCAUGCCCCUUAUGUCUUGGGCUUCACGCAUGCUACAAUGGCCGGUACAGAGGGUUGCGAUACUGUGAGGUGGAGCUAAUCCCUAAAAGCCGGUCUCAGUUCGGAUUGGGGUCUGCAACUCGACCCCCUGAAGUCGGAGUCGCUAGUAAUCGCAGAUCAGCAACGCUGCGGUGAGUACGUUCCCGGGCCUUGUACACACCGCCCGUCAAGGGCGAAUUCCAGCA